GGAGAGAUGGCUCAGUGGUUAAGAGCACUGUGUGUUCUUCCAGAGGACCUGGGUUCAAUUCCCAGCACCC
This is a non-coding RNA of Cricetulus griseus (Chinese hamster), 70 nucleotides long. The record is from Rfam. NCBI's taxonomy places the organism in Eukaryota, Metazoa, Chordata, Mammalia, Rodentia, Cricetidae.